UUUAAAAUAUAUUAUUUAGUUUAGAAACAUUAAUGUUAACAUUUUUUUAAUUUUAGUGGUCAUUUUUUUAUAAUUACUUUUUAUAAUGAUAAAAAAACACAUUAUACAUUAUCUAAAGCUGAAAUGUCUAUUUUGGAGAUGGUAAUUUUUUGGUAACAACCCAAAAGUUUAGUCAUUCCUCUUGUGAUCAUUUUUGUAUUUUUAUAAAAUUAUACUUAUUAUUAAGUAUUAUUCAUCCCUAAACAUAUUGUUGUAAUAUGUAGACACUAAAAACUUUUUUAUUUUACUUCGAUGUCUUAAGCGACAUCUGCACAAACUUUAAGGAUGACAAUUCCAAGUACAUUGACAAACACUACCGGAAAUGCAAUGGCCCUUAGCGAGAAGUCCUCUACCACUUCUGCACAACACUUCACAUAUUAUGCCUUUGCAAAAAAAAAUAUUCCAAUUGGCUUGACACUGUUCGCCAUUGAUCAUAUGUGUACCUAUAUCAUAUUAGAGUAGAAUAACAUCAAUUAACAAAUCAAUUAAGAAUCAUAAGUAAACAAGAAUUUGUAGUUUUUGUGGUAAGUCGGCGUAAUGAAAUAUAGAUAAGAUACUACUAUAAUGAGCAAUUUUUAUUAUAUAUCGUAUAAAGAUUACCAACAAUGGCGAGUAUGAUCACAAGAGCAACAUAUAGUUUGAUGGACGCCAUACCUUUUAAUUUACUGAUACUCUAUACAAUGGAGGUGUAUUGACCAAAUGGUUCAAUCAUUGUAAAUUUAUAGGAAGAAGUAAAUUGCGUACAUAUGAUGGAUUAAAACAUGUGCCAUUUAAUUCACAAUAAAUAUAUUUAGUUGGUUGUUGGUAGCCUCCAUUAAUUGUUGAAAUCUUGAAAAAGUAUUUGAUCACAUGAACGGAUGAACCUAUAUCAAUGAAAGUCAAUCAUCUAUCCCGUUACGUAAGUUUAUUACAUGUUAUGGAAAAAUCUUUACUAUUAAAGUUUUUCAAUCAUGUACAUUGAGAUUUAUUUGAAGAUGAUGAACUUUAUUGCUCUUUGUGACAACGAGAUGGAAACAUAGGAUCACAUUUUCAUUAAAAAUAUAGUUAUGAGCCUGUUUUGGGUAUUUAUGUCUAUACUAAAGAUUGAACUUUCGCCCAAACCACAAUUUAGUAUUUCUCGAAAACUGUAUCAAACACAGANGAAAACUGUAUUCAAACAUAGAAAAAUUUAACAUCAUCAAAAUUCUAUAAAAUGUAAAUGUAUUAUAUUUGAAAUGAAUAUAACUACUUAAUUUCAUUGUACUGAUUCCAUUCCCUCAAGUGUAUUGGAUGACGUAAGGUACUAAGAUGGAGGUGAUUCCAUGCCCUCAAGUGUAUGGGUUGGUGAAGAGCAAUUUGUAUAGUCUAAUAGCAGCAGAGUAAACUAACAUAUCACUUUCUAUGACUAAAUUGUUAUGGAUUUAAGCUUGUAAAAUAACAUAUCACUUUCUAUUACUAAAUUAUUAUGGAUUUAAGUUUUGCGUUUUUAUUGGCAUAAAAGCUCCACUAAUGUAAACUUUUAAAAUGAUAAUGAAAAUGCAAUUCAGACAUUAGUUAAGUUAUAAUAUUAAGGCCAUAAAUUAAAUUUUUGAUUUUAUUGGAUAUUAAGGAUAAUGUAUUAAUAUGUAGAUUUUGAUCCGGAAACUAAUGUGCAUCUCAUAAUUCAGUGACAUAUCACUACAAACAAUAAAUGAAGACAUUACUGGCGAUGCUUUUAACUUUACAUUUGAUCAUUAAUUUAGUUUCCAUGAAUUUUAAUAUACAAUAAAUUUAUUAAUUUCAAAUUUCAAUUUUAGUUUCUAAUAAAUUGCAGUUUACACCUUUUUUGUUAACAUUUUUUUAAAAUUAACCCGUUUAGAACACGAGUCUGACAACCAAAUAUGUAAUUUUAGUUUAUUGAUUUUUUGAAUGUAUAUUUAUUUCUAUAUUAUUAUUUUCACAUAAUUUUCACUUUAUUUAAAUUUCAAAUUCAACUAAAUUUUCCGAUUAAUCCUUCGUAUUUAACAUUAUCUUUUAAUCACCCAUUUUUGGUAUACGGGUCUUAAAUUUAUAACGUUAAUAUGAGCACAUGAUAAUAAUAAGAAAAAGUCAGUAAAACAAAAAUUGGUAAAGAAUCAAUUUGAUUAUGGUUGGUAUAUUAUUUUCUCCACUAUUCAUUAAUAUUAGAUGAUUCGCAUAUUAAAUUGGUUAUCAAUUUCUAUUUUUAUUUCUAACCUCCUUCGUUAUGUUUUAAAUAUAAACCACAUAAAAUGUAAAUACUAAUUUUGGUUCAGAUUCACCUAAAGAAGAAGUAUAAAGUUUGAAAUGUCAUAAGAUAUGGUAGGAAUAGACCUAACAAUCCAUGUUCACAUUGUAAAUCGUUUUUAGGGUACCAAACAUGAAACAUGACUUUAAAAUUUCGUAUAUUACUAAACUGGUCUCAAAACACUCAAUAAAUAUAAAGUUUACCCGCUGAGUUUUGAAGAAUCUAUACAUGUUUAUAUGUGUCGCGUUUCACACAAAUUAAAUUUGAGUGUUAUGUGUUAAAACAUAUAAUUCGUUUUUACAUGAAUACACAUGAAUAAAAAUUUCUAAAAAUCAUACAAAGAGAAGUUAUGUUUUAAUCACGUCGUUUAAGUAGUGUUGUCAAUCUAAUUGUCAUGUCUAUGUGUGAGAUGUGCUUAUGUACACAUGCAUCUCAUGUCAAUACAUGUGCAUAUGCAUAGAUGUGCACAUGUGCUCACGAAUAUUUUUUGAUGAAAAAUAUCUUCUGAUACAAAAAUAAUUAUAUUGAAAUUUCAAGAAAUAUCCCAAAUCUGAUUAAUAAAUAUAAUAACUUGAAAAUUUUUCAUUUUUUUUUCUAAAUUCUAGCAAUAUGUUAAAGAAAGUAUAAGUGAAAUAUAUUAUGCUUGAAGGCAUUUAAAAUAUAUUAUUUAGUUGAGAAACAUUAAUGUUAACAAUUUUUUAAUUUUAGUGGUCAUUUUUUUAGAAUUAUUUUUUAUAAUGAUAAAAAAACACAUUAUACAUUAUCUAAAGGUCAAAUGUCUAAUUUGGAGAUGGUAAUAUUUUGGUAAUAGCCCAAAAGUUUAAUCAUUCCGCUUGUGAUCAUUUUUGUAUUUUUAUAAAAUUACACUUAUUAUUAAGUAUUAUGCAUCCCUAAACAUAUUGUUGUAAUAUGUAGACACAUCAAACUUUUUUAUUUUACUUCGAUGUCUUAAGCGACAUCUGCACAAACUUUAAGGAUGACAAUUCCAAGUACAUUGACAAACACUACCGGAAAUGCAAUGGCCCUUAGCGAGAAGUCCUCUACCACUUCUGCACAACACUUCACAUAUUAUGCCUUUGCAAAAAAAAAUAUUCCAAUUGGCUUGACACUGUUCGCCAUUGAUCAUAUGUGUACCUAUAUCAUAUGAGAGCAAAAUAACAUCAAUUAACAAAUCAAUUAAGAAUCAUCAGAAAACAAGAAUUUGUAGUUUUUGUGGUAAGUCGGCGUAAUGAAAUAUAGCUAAGAUACUACUAUAAUGAGCAAUUUUUAUUAUAUAUCAUAUAAAGAUUACCAACAANUCACAAGAGCAACAUAUAGUUUGAUGGACGCCAUACCUUUUAAUUUACUGAUACUCUAUACAAUGGAAGUGUAUUGACCAAAUGGUUCAAUCAUUGUAAAUUUAUAGGAAGAAGUAAAUUGCGUACAUAUGAUGGAUUAAAACAUGUGCCAUUUAAUUCACAAUAAAUAUAUUUAGUUGGUUGUUGGUAGCCUCCAUUAAUUGUUGAAAUCUUGAAAAAGUAUUUGAUCAC
This 3792-nucleotide long non-coding RNA is filed under the name Lactuca sativa (garden lettuce). RNAcentral's name for it is "long non-coding RNA (LSAT_LNC000230)". Lineage: Eukaryota; Viridiplantae; Streptophyta; Magnoliopsida; Asterales; Asteraceae. The record is from RNAcentral.